UGUUCGGAAAAUCGAGAACUUCUGUCAAGCCAAACUAAGCAUCCGUGUCCAGCUGGCGGGUAACAUGAUGUUGACUGCAGCCGGCUAUUUCUUUGCACGCGUCUAUUUUCAAUGCGUUCAGAUCAUGUUCUCUUCCAUGGACAACUGAAGUAUCUUCAUCAGAGCUUGGCAGAAUGAAGAUGGGCGUGGUUAUGCUGCAGAACAUCAGUGGAAAAUGAAACUCUUCAUGUGGCACAGCUUUAGCUCUUGCUAAUUUUGUUUGAAAAUGUUCUCUUUGCGUUGUCAGUUCUGGAUGUUUCGUCAUAUUAUGUCUUGCUCCCAUUUGUUUCCCGCAAGCAACCUUUCCUACAUCCCCAUUGUUUUUGUAACUAAUAAUCCAAAUGUUCAAAGAGAGUUAACAGAAGCGAGACAUUUAUUCUUUAAUACGCCUAUAUUUUGCUCCAGGAUUGCUUGCAGCAGAGCACAGGAGGUGAAUUUAAAUUUCGAGCCAAGGACAAUCGUGGAGAGUUAGCAAUCCAUUCUCUCACUCUGAAGGUGGAAUUUUUUGGUAUUAACAUUGCCAGAGGAUAUUUUGACAUUCCUGUGUAUUUUGAUCCAAUUGUUUCUGCACCCUACAUAAAACAUGCUUAGGAAAAAUUGAACUUGUGGCUGAGAGUUGUUUCUUAUGGGACUCUUGACA
This is a long non-coding RNA of Stegostoma tigrinum, 679 nucleotides long. RefSeq lists it as uncharacterized. NCBI's taxonomy places the organism in Eukaryota, Metazoa, Chordata, Chondrichthyes, Orectolobiformes, Stegostomatidae. The record is from RefSeq and is a predicted model, not a curated record. The transcript is spliced from 3 exons.